RNAcentral lists this unclassified non-coding RNA (349 nucleotides) under soil metagenome. RNAcentral describes it as "partial contains 5.8S ribosomal RNA, internal transcribed spacer 2, and large subunit ribosomal RNA". The stretch from base 1 to 120 matches the Rfam family "5.8S ribosomal RNA", at positions 35 to 154 of the family's 154-position model. The record is from RNAcentral.
GAUGAAGAACGCAGCGAAAUGCGAUAAGUAAUGUGAAUUGCAGAAUUCAGUGAAUCAUCGAAUCUUUGAACGCACAUUGCGCCCGCCAGUAUUCUGGCGGGCAUGCCUGUCCGAGCGUCAUUUCAACCCUCGCGCCCAUCUGGGCUGCGGUGUUGGGGACCGGCCUGCCCCCCCGGGGCGCGCCGCCCCCCAAAUUCAGUGGCGGUCUCGCUGCAGCCUCCCUUGCGUAGUAGCACACCUCGCACCGGAGCGCAGCGCGGCCACGCCGUAAAACCCCCGACCCCCAUGAGUUUGACCUCGAAUCAGGUAGGAAUACCCGCUGAACUUAAGCAUAUCAAUAAGCGGAGGA